UACGUAGGGUGCGAGCGUUAAUCGGAAUCACUGGGCGUAAAGCGCACGUAGGCGGAUUGCUAAGUCAGGGGUGAAAUCCUGGAGCUCAACUCCAGAACUGCCCUUGAUACUGGCGGUCUCGAGUCCGGGAGAGGUGAGUGGAACUGCGAGUGUAGAGGUGAAAUUCGUAGAUAUUCGCAAGAACACCAGUGGCGAAGGCGGCUCACUGGCCCGGUACUGACGCUGAGGUGCGAAAGCGUGGGGAGCAAACAGG
This 253-nucleotide ribosomal RNA is filed under the name uncultured bacterium. Its description in RNAcentral is "partial 16S ribosomal RNA". It matches the Rfam family "Bacterial small subunit ribosomal RNA", at positions 524 to 776 of the family's 1533-position model. The record is from RNAcentral.